AUACCGGCGUGCUGGCUUAAUAACNNAGGAAUACGCAUGAACCGACUGGCCGGACUCUCGACCCUUGCCCUGAUGAUCUCUGCAACCAGUGGCUGCGGCUGGAUCACCUCCUUANAACGUCGCAAGACCAAAGAGGGGGACCUUCGGGCCUCUUGCCAUCGGAUGUGCCCAGAUGGGAUUAGCUAGUANGUGGGGUAACGGCUCACCUAGGCGACGAUCCCUAGCUGGUCUGAGAGGAUGACCAGCCACACUGGAACUGAGACACGGUCGGGACUCCUACGGGAGGCAGCAGUGGGGAAUAUUGCACAAUGGGCGCAAGCCUGAUGC
RNAcentral lists this ribosomal RNA (327 nucleotides) under Citrobacter freundii. RNAcentral describes it as "bacterial SSU rRNA". It matches the Rfam family "Bacterial small subunit ribosomal RNA", at positions 145 to 389 of the family's 1533-position model. Lineage: Bacteria; Pseudomonadati; Pseudomonadota; Gammaproteobacteria; Enterobacterales; Enterobacteriaceae. The record is from RNAcentral.